RNAcentral lists this ribosomal RNA (495 nucleotides) under uncultured bacterium. RNAcentral's name for it is "bacterial SSU rRNA". It matches the Rfam family "Bacterial small subunit ribosomal RNA", at positions 15 to 507 of the family's 1533-position model. The record is from RNAcentral.
GAUCAUGGCUCAGAUUGAACGCUGGCGGCAUGCCUUACACAUGAAAGUCGAACGGCAGCGGGCCUUCGGGUGCCGGCGAGUGGCGAACGGGUGAGUAAUGCAUCGGAACGUGCCAUUGAGUGGGGGAUAACGUAGCGAAAGUUACGCUAAUACCGCAUAUUCUGUGAGCAGGAAAGCAGGGGACCGCAAGGCCUUGCGCUCUUUGAGCGGCCGAUGUCAGAUUAGCUAGUUGGUGAGGUAAAGGCUUACCAAGGCGACGAUCUGUAGCGGGUCUGAGAGGAUGAUCCGCCACACUGGAACUGAGACACGGUCCAGACUCCUACGGGAGGCAGCAGUGGGGAAUUUUGGACAAUGGGCGCAAGCCUGAUCCAGCCAUGCCGCGUGAGUGAAGAAGGCCUUCGGGUUGUAAAGCUCUUUCGGCCGGGAAGAAAUCGCAUGGGUUAAUACCCUGUGUGGAUGACGGUACCGGAAUAAGAAGCACCGGCUAACUACGUG